AGUGAACGCUGGCGGUAGGCCUAACACAUGCAAGUCGAACGGCAGCACAGUAAGAGCUUGCUCUUACGGGUGGCGAGUGGCGGACGGGUGAGGAAUACAUCGGAAUCUACUUUUUCGUGGGGGAUAACGUAGGGAAACUUACGCUAAUACAGCAUACGACCUACGGGUGAAAGAAGGGGAUCUUCGGACCUUGCGCGAUUGAAUGAGCCGGUGUCGGAGUAGCUAGUUGGCGGGGUAAAGGCCCACCAAGGCGACGAUCCGUAGCUGGUCUGAGAGGCUGAUCAGCCACACUGGAACUGAGACACGGUCCAGACUCCUACGGGAGGCAGCAGUGGGGAAUAUUGGACAAAGGGCGCAAGCCUGAUCCAGCCAUACCGCGUGGGUGAAGAAGGCCUUCGGGUUGUAAAGCCCUUUUUUUGGGAAAGAAAAGCAGCAGGUUAAUACCCCGCUGUUCUGACGGUACCCAAAGAAUAAGCACCGGCUAACUUCGUG
This 492-nucleotide ribosomal RNA is filed under the name uncultured bacterium. RNAcentral's name for it is "partial 16S ribosomal RNA". It matches the Rfam family "Bacterial small subunit ribosomal RNA", at positions 29 to 507 of the family's 1533-position model. The record is from RNAcentral.